Molecule: ribosomal RNA, 253 nt
Filed under: uncultured bacterium
Lineage: Bacteria
Description: partial 16S ribosomal RNA
Rfam family: Bacterial small subunit ribosomal RNA
Source: RNAcentral
UACGUAGGGUGCAGGCGUUAAUCGGAAUUACUGGGCGUAAAGCGUGCGCAGGCGGUUUGUUAAGACAGAUGUGAAAUCCCCGGGCUUAACCUGGGAACUGCGUUUGUAACUGGCAAGCUAGAGUGUGGCAGAGGGGGGUGGAAUUCCACGUGUAGCAGUGAAAUGCGUAGAGAUGUGGAGGAACACCGAUGGCGAAGGCGACAUCCUGGACCGGUAUUGACGCUGAGGCGCGAAAGCCAGGGGAGCAAACGGG